GUCAAUGAGGAUGAUGAGAAAAUAAAACUUUCGUUCUUUCAAAUUUCCCAUGCGAAAAAUAAAUAGAGACUUGAACUGAAGAU
Non-coding RNA from Glycine max (soybean), 83 nucleotides. NCBI's taxonomy places the organism in Eukaryota, Viridiplantae, Streptophyta, Magnoliopsida, Fabales, Fabaceae. The record is from Rfam.